Molecule: ribosomal RNA, 407 nt
Filed under: uncultured bacterium
Lineage: Bacteria
Description: partial 16S ribosomal RNA
Rfam family: Bacterial small subunit ribosomal RNA
Source: RNAcentral
GACGAACGCUGGCGGCGUGCCUAAUACAUGCAAGUAGAACGCAGUUGCGAACGGGUGAGUAACGCGUAGGUAACUGCCUCAUAGCGGGGGAUAACUAUUGGAAACGAUAGCUAAUACCGCAUACGGGGAGAUGGACCUGCGUUGUAUUAGCUAGUUGGUGAGGUAAAGGCUCACCAAGGCGACGAUACAUAGCCGAGCUGAGAGGGAGUACGGCGAGACCGGGACUGGUACACGGCCCAGACGCCUACGAGUGGCACGAGUAGGGAAACUUCGGCAAUGGACGGAAGUCUGGACGGGCUAAGGCACGUGAGUGACGAGGGGUUUCGGGUCGUAAAGCUUUGUUGUUAGAGAAGCGGUAACUGACCAGAAAGGGACGGCUAACUACGUGCCAGCAGCCGCGGUAAUAC